RNAcentral lists this ribosomal RNA (497 nucleotides) under uncultured bacterium. RNAcentral describes it as "partial 16S ribosomal RNA". It matches the Rfam family "Bacterial small subunit ribosomal RNA", at positions 28 to 507 of the family's 1533-position model. The record is from RNAcentral.
GAUGGACGCUGGCGGCGUGCCUAAUACAUGCCAGUCGAGCGAACAGACGAGGAGCUUGCUCCUCUGAUGUUAGCGGCGGACGGGUGAGUAACACGUGGAUAACCUACCUAUAAGACUGGGAUAACUUCGGGAAACCGGAGCUAAUACCGGAUAACAUGCUGAACCGCAUGGUUCAACAGUGAAAGACGGUCUUGCUGUCACUUAUAGAUGGAUCCGCGCCGCAUUAGCUAGUUGGUAAGGUAACGGCUUACCAAGGCAACGAUGCGUAGCCGACCUGAGAGGGUGAUCGGCCACACUGGAACUGAGACACGGUCCAGACUCCUACGGGAGGCAGCAGUAGGGAAUCUUCCGCAAUGGGCGAAAGCCUGACGGAGCAACGCCGCGUGAGUGAAGAAGGUCUUCGGAUCGUAAAACUCUGUUAUUAGGGAAGAACAAAUGUGUAAGUAACUAUGCACGUCUUGACGGUACCUAAUCAGAAAGCCACGGCUAACUACGUG